This 2904-nucleotide ribosomal RNA is filed under the name Escherichia coli. RNAcentral's name for it is "23S ribosomal RNA". It matches the Rfam family "Bacterial large subunit ribosomal RNA". Lineage: Bacteria; Pseudomonadati; Pseudomonadota; Gammaproteobacteria; Enterobacterales; Enterobacteriaceae. The record is from RNAcentral.
GGUUAAGCGACUAAGCGUACACGGUGGAUGCCCUGGCAGUCAGAGGCGAUGAAGGACGUGCUAAUCUGCGAUAAGCGUCGGUAAGGUGAUAUGAACCGUUAUAACCGGCGAUUUCCGAAUGGGGAAACCCAGUGUGUUUCGACACACUAUCAUUAACUGAAUCCAUAGGUUAAUGAGGCGAACCGGGGGAACUGAAACAUCUAAGUACCCCGAGGAAAAGAAAUCAACCGAGAUUCCCCCAGUAGCGGCGAGCGAACGGGGAGCAGCCCAGAGCCUGAAUCAGUGUGUGUGUUAGUGGAAGCGUCUGGAAAGGCGCGCGAUACAGGGUGACAGCCCCGUACACAAAAAUGCACAUGCUGUGAGCUCGAUGAGUAGGGCGGGACACGUGGUAUCCUGUCUGAAUAUGGGGGGACCAUCCUCCAAGGCUAAAUACUCCUGACUGACCGAUAGUGAACCAGUACCGUGAGGGAAAGGCGAAAAGAACCCCGGCGAGGGGAGUGAAAAAGAACCUGAAACCGUGUACGUACAAGCAGUGGGAGCCUCUUUUAUGGGGUGACUGCGUACCUUUUGUAUAAUGGGUCAGCGACUUAUAUUCUGUAGCAAGGUUAACCGAAUAGGGGAGCCGAAGGGAAACCGAGUCUUAACUGGGCGUUAAGUUGCAGGGUAUAGACCCGAAACCCGGUGAUCUAGCCAUGGGCAGGUUGAAGGUUGGGUAACACUAACUGGAGGACCGAACCGACUAAUGUUGAAAAAUUAGCGGAUGACUUGUGGCUGGGGGUGAAAGGCCAAUCAAACCGGGAGAUAGCUGGUUCUCCCCGAAAGCUAUUUAGGUAGCGCCUCGUGAAUUCAUCUCCGGGGGUAGAGCACUGUUUCGGCAAGGGGGUCAUCCCGACUUACCAACCCGAUGCAAACUGCGAAUACCGGAGAAUGUUAUCACGGGAGACACACGGCGGGUGCUAACGUCCGUCGUGAAGAGGGAAACAACCCAGACCGCCAGCUAAGGUCCCAAAGUCAUGGUUAAGUGGGAAACGAUGUGGGAAGGCCCAGACAGCCAGGAUGUUGGCUUAGAAGCAGCCAUCAUUUAAAGAAAGCGUAAUAGCUCACUGGUCGAGUCGGCCUGCGCGGAAGAUGUAACGGGGCUAAACCAUGCACCGAAGCUGCGGCAGCGACGCUUAUGCGUUGUUGGGUAGGGGAGCGUUCUGUAAGCCUGUGAAGGUGUGCUGUGAGGCAUGCUGGAGGUAUCAGAAGUGCGAAUGCUGACAUAAGUAACGAUAAAGCGGGUGAAAAGCCCGCUCGCCGGAAGACCAAGGGUUCCUGUCCAACGUUAAUCGGGGCAGGGUGAGUCGACCCCUAAGGCGAGGCCGAAAGGCGUAGUCGAUGGGAAACAGGUUAAUAUUCCUGUACUUGGUGUUACUGCGAAGGGGGGACGGAGAAGGCUAUGUUGGCCGGGCGACGGUUGUCCCGGUUUAAGCGUGUAGGCUGGUUUUCCAGGCAAAUCCGGAAAAUCAAGGCUGAGGCGUGAUGACGAGGCACUACGGUGCUGAAGCAACAAAUGCCCUGCUUCCAGGAAAAGCCUCUAAGCAUCAGGUAACAUCAAAUCGUACCCCAAACCGACACAGGUGGUCAGGUAGAGAAUACCAAGGCGCUUGAGAGAACUCGGGUGAAGGAACUAGGCAAAAUGGUGCCGUAACUUCGGGAGAAGGCACGCUGAUAUGUAGGUGAGGUCCCUCGCGGAUGGAGCUGAAAUCAGUCGAAGAUACCAGCUGGCUGCAACUGUUUAUUAAAAACACAGCACUGUGCAAACACGAAAGUGGACGUAUACGGUGUGACGCCUGCCCGGUGCCGGAAGGUUAAUUGAUGGGGUCAGCGCAAGCGAAGCUCUUGAUCGAAGCCCCGGUAAACGGCGGCCGUAACUAUAACGGUCCUAAGGUAGCGAAAUUCCUUGUCGGGUAAGUUCCGACCUGCACGAAUGGCGUAAUGAUGGCCAGGCUGUCUCCACCCGAGACUCAGUGAAAUUGAACUCGCUGUGAAGAUGCAGUGUACCCGCGGCAAGACGGAAAGACCCCGUGAACCUUUACUAUAGCUUGACACUGAACAUUGAGCCUUGAUGUGUAGGAUAGGUGGGAGGCUUUGAAGUGUGGACGCCAGUCUGCAUGGAGCCGACCUUGAAAUACCACCCUUUAAUGUUUGAUGUUCUAACGUUGACCCGUAAUCCGGGUUGCGGACAGUGUCUGGUGGGUAGUUUGACUGGGGCGGUCUCCUCCUAAAGAGUAACGGAGGAGCACGAAGGUUGGCUAAUCCUGGUCGGACAUCAGGAGGUUAGUGCAAUGGCAUAAGCCAGCUUGACUGCGAGCGUGACGGCGCGAGCAGGUGCGAAAGCAGGUCAUAGUGAUCCGGUGGUUCUGAAUGGAAGGGCCAUCGCUCAACGGAUAAAAGGUACUCCGGGGAUAACAGGCUGAUACCGCCCAAGAGUUCAUAUCGACGGCGGUGUUUGGCACCUCGAUGUCGGCUCAUCACAUCCUGGGGCUGAAGUAGGUCCCAAGGGUAUGGCUGUUCGCCAUUUAAAGUGGUACGCGAGCUGGGUUUAGAACGUCGUGAGACAGUUCGGUCCCUAUCUGCCGUGGGCGCUGGAGAACUGAGGGGGGCUGCUCCUAGUACGAGAGGACCGGAGUGGACGCAUCACUGGUGUUCGGGUUGUCAUGCCAAUGGCACUGCCCGGUAGCUAAAUGCGGAAGAGAUAAGUGCUGAAAGCAUCUAAGCACGAAACUUGCCCCGAGAUGAGUUCUCCCUGACCCUUUAAGGGUCCUGAAGGAACGUUGAAGACGACGACGUUGAUAGGCCGGGUGUGUAAGCGCAGCGAUGCGUUGAGCUAACCGGUACUAAUGAACCGUGAGGCUUAACCUU